This 453-nucleotide ribosomal RNA is filed under the name uncultured Tropicibacter sp. Its description in RNAcentral is "bacterial SSU rRNA". It matches the Rfam family "Bacterial small subunit ribosomal RNA", at positions 1025 to 1502 of the family's 1533-position model. The record is from RNAcentral. Lineage: Bacteria; Pseudomonadati; Pseudomonadota; Alphaproteobacteria; Rhodobacterales; Roseobacteraceae.
GACCUAGUACAAGGUGCUGCAUGGCUGUCGUCAGCUCGUGUCGUGAAAUGUUCGGUUAAGUCCGGCAACGAGCGCAACCCACAUCCUUAGUUGCCAGCAGUUCGGCUGGGCACUCUAAGGAAACUGCCCGUGAUAAGCGGGAGGAAGGUGUGGAUGACGUCAAGUCCUCAUGGCCCUUACGGGUUGGGCUACACACGUGCUACAAUGGCAACUACAGUGGGUUAAUCCCCAAAAGUUGUCUCAGUUCGGAUUGUCGUCUGCAACUCGACGGCAUGAAGUCGGAAUCGCUAGUAAUCGCGUAACAGCAUGACGCGGUGAAUACGUUCCCGGGCCUUGUACACACCGCCCGUCACACCAUGGGAGUUGGGUUUACCCGAAGGCCGUGCGCUAACUUUUGAGGCAGCGGACCACGGUGAGCUCAGCGACUGGGGUGAAGUCGUAACAAGGUAGCCU